RNAcentral lists this unclassified non-coding RNA (310 nucleotides) under uncultured Chaetomium. RNAcentral describes it as "sequence contains ITS1". The stretch from base 1 to 105 matches the Rfam family "5.8S ribosomal RNA", at positions 50 to 154 of the family's 154-position model. Lineage: Eukaryota; Fungi; Ascomycota; Sordariomycetes; Sordariales; Chaetomiaceae. The record is from RNAcentral.
GAAAUGCGAUAAGUAAUGUGAAUUGCAGAAUUCAGUGAAUCAUCGAAUCUUUGAACGCACAUUCCGCCGGCCAGUAUUCUUACGGGCAUGCUUGUUCGAGCGUCAUUUCAACCAUCAAGCCCCCGGGCUUGUGUUGGGGACCCUGCGGCUGCCCGCAGGCCCUGAAAUGCAGUGGCGGGCUUGCUGUCCACACCGAGCGUAGUAGCAUUACACCUCGCUCAGGGCUUGCGGCGUGCUCCAGCCGCUAAACGCGACGUUAACGCAUACCAAGGUUGACCUCGGAUCAGGUAGGAAGACCCGCUGAACUUAA